Molecule: long non-coding RNA, 346 nt
Filed under: Homo sapiens (human)
Lineage: Eukaryota; Metazoa; Chordata; Mammalia; Primates; Hominidae
Description: HSALNT0356131
Source: RNAcentral
CAAACACUUCAGAGUCCUGUUUUCUCAGAAUCAGGGGAUUGAAAAUGACCUUAAAUAUCAUUUAAUUUGUUUAGCCCCACUCCCCUUUUUUCUUUUCUCUUUUCCCCUUUUCUCACCCACAGAAAGUCAGUGUCCUUCUGUUUGUGCCUGCUGGCCUUUUGCUGCCAAUAUCUGAGCAAAGUUGCUCCAUAUGACCCUGUGAUAUUGGCAGAUCACAAGAUUUGUCUCAAGUCAUUCAGUAUCAGAUCCCAGAAGUAGCAACUCUUCUUUUGCUGAUGCCUAUCCAUCUAUUUGUCUAUCUCUCCAUCCAUCUAUCUACUUAUCCAUCCAUCUGUCCAUCCAUCCA